Cyanistes caeruleus (blue tit) is the source of this 1591-nucleotide non-coding RNA. The record is from RefSeq and is a predicted model, not a curated record. NCBI's taxonomy places the organism in Eukaryota, Metazoa, Chordata, Aves, Passeriformes, Paridae.
GAGGAGGAAGGGGAGAGGCGCGCGCAGCCGCUGGCGGACGGGCCGGGAGCGGCACCGGAGCUGACGGGACGGGGCUGCGGCGCUCUCCGGCCUCUGCCCUCCUUCCUCUCACCGAAAGCUGAGUUUCACCCCCGAAACCGGGACACAGGAGCCUCGCCGCCUUUUUCCACAGAAUCACCAACGUUGGAAGAGACCUGAAGGGAAGAGGAGACUGGCCCCCACCCACCUCCGUCAUGGAGUAGAAUAAUUCUCCAGAAACACCUAUUUGCAAUCCUGUUUUCUCAGGAGCUUGGCGGACUUUGUCAGAGGGUCAGUUAUUCCCACACUUUACACCAAAACUUGUGGGGUAUGCCAGCACUGAACUGAAGCCCACCCCCCUCCUCCAAAGCCUUGAUGAGAUGUACGAGCUCCCAGGUUAUCCCAUUCCUGGGCAUCAUCAGGCGCUGCAGAAUGAGCACCUUGCUGUGGAAAGCACAGUCCCUUCUGCCUGCAUGUAUGGUGCUUUCAUGGUAAGGGGAGACUGGAUGAGUGGUGUGGAAAAUCAGGUACAAAUACCGAUUCAUGGAUAACCUGCAAUCCCUCCUUUGAUGCAUCUCCAACUUUCCUUUUCAGGGUCAGCUUCCAGUACUGGCCAUGCACCCAGUCCACAUAAGAAGAAUAAAUGCAGAUCAGUUAAAAUCCCCUGGCUGUUUUCAAGUUAUGAAAUAGUUAUCCCUUCUCCUUUUGUGUCAUUAUUUUUUAAGCAAAACACUAUUAGAUUUAGCAAUUUCCUGGUUUUUGUAGAAGUUUGAUCACAUGCAUGCAACAUUAGGUUACAUUACUCUGAGUGCUCUAAUAUUCCUAAUAAUUAAUUAUUAAUAAUUAGGUUCAUGAGCAACAGAGCUCACAACUUACAGUGGUUGUUAUCUCUCUGAUUUGUGAUCAUUUUCCAUGCAGAUGUGCCUGUGUACAGCAAUUUAGGUGCCACAUAAAUCAAAAUAUUUUGUCAGUGUAUUUGGCCACACUGAGAAAAAUCUGAAGUUUCUUGUAUCUUUUCAUUUUUUUGUCUUCCACUGCAUCACUAAGAAAGUUUAUUGUCUUGUCUUGUGGUAGUAAGAAUUUCAGCAGUCUAUCUAAAAGGAAUAGAUCCAGCAAUUACAAAACUCACUAAGAAGUAAAUGAGGCAGCACUUCCAUUGCAGAAUGCUUAUGAUCGGUUCUGAUAACGCAAGUGGCAAAAAAAAUGCUUGGUGGGGCUGAAAAGUGUGGUUUUAAAAGUAUGUUUGCAAAGCUAUCAUAAAAAAGUAGGCAAGGAUAUGUAUUUUAUUAGCUGACUUCGAAAAUAUUUGUGUAACUCCGUUUGCAUCACUGUAUAUGUCUACAUAUUUCUGUUUUUUUCAGAAUGAUCUCAAGGUCAGUCAGAGCUCCUGGGAACUUAAGCUAUAUUUUUCUAGUAAGUUAUUUCAGUCGUCCAAGUCCAAUUUAAGUAUAAACACAGUUUCCAUGCACAGCAGGUUUACAGUAUCUCUGUUUGCUUAUGUUAAAAGUUACCGGCUACCCAGGUCGGUUCAGCCAGUCAGAUUGCCCUCUUCAAUAAACAUUCUGACACCACU